RNAcentral lists this long non-coding RNA (365 nucleotides) under Apteryx rowi (Okarito brown kiwi). RNAcentral's name for it is "lncRNA (ENSARWG00000008856.1)". The record is from RNAcentral. Lineage: Eukaryota; Metazoa; Chordata; Aves; Apterygiformes; Apterygidae.
CUUUUCCAGCUGUGGACUACAUGAUCUUGAAAGCACAACUUGAAACUGAGAUCAGAUGAACCCUCUGGACCUGGCCAGAGGACAAGUUUCCUUUUGCUGGAUCCAGUAAUUCUCUCACCUCUGUGGAAAUCCUGCUUUUCAAUGUGCAUGCUUGCUGUCAAGGUAUACAAGGAGCAUAAAGAAGGUAUAAAAGGACUAUGAAAGAAGACUAGCUCAGGCAUCUGCAUUUCAUGAGCUGAAAAAAAGAGCCAAACCAGUGGACAGCCUACGGAACCCAGUAUAAUUUGAGGCUUGCCUACAUCAAGAUUUUUGGCUUGAAAGGAGGACCAGUCAGAGGAUAUUGUCUCAUAGAAGCUUGUAGUAUG